UUACGUUACGCCCUUUCAUGUCAUUUAUCAGUUGACUUUAUUCGCGUUAUUCAUCCGAACGCCUGACGUGCGACCCAUCCAAAAAACGCGACAAUAGCAAAAGUGGAGAAGUGAGUAAUGCAGAUGCAAAACGAAGAAUCAACUCGAAGACCAAACAAAUAGCGAGUGAGAGCGGCAAUCGCUGAAUGAUGAAAUGUAUGAAGAAAGGGGAAGAUCAAGCACAAUAAUACGCAGAGAUCAGAGAAAGGUGCAGUACUGCGUGCGACCAAUUAUUUGACCACACAUUACAAUUCAACAGCUUUCUUCAUCUGUCCAGCUGCAAUCUGCUGUGUAGUAGCGAUAAUUUUACAGUUUGCCAAUCCCAUUUCCAGUGCACCUAUAUGCAAUACAAACCAACGUCAAGCCAGACGUCAGAGGUUAGACGUUAGAAACGUCCCACGCCACCGAAAGUGGCAAAACAGGAAGUAGAAGAUCGACGACGGUCAUUUCACCAGUGGCAAUAUUCACAUCGGCACACCCGCGGCACACCACAUCGUCAUCUAUGCGUCUUUAUAAGUGUCAUCAUCCUCUCAUCUCUUCUGAUUUUUGGAUGUGACAAUAUGGAAUGUGUCUUUCUAUCUUGGAUCUGGGGUCUUAAACUCGCUGACUUGCUUGCUGCCGACUGAUAUCGACAUGCUUAUUUUUCGAUCUAAACGUUUCCGUCCAACAGCUAUAUUCACACUGCAUCGCCAUCAUUUACUUCCCCUUCUCGAGCCCAUCUUGCAAUCAUUAGUCCCACUUCUUUCAUUAUCUAGACGGAAACAACCAUGCGCCACACGUACAUCCAAAUAAUAUGUAAUUUAAACUCAGGUCCUCAUCAAGACGGCUGGGGGGGUAGUGAAAAAGGGAUAUCUUCGCAGGCCAAAAACCUUUCAUCCUUUAUCUAGUUUAUGAGUCAUGAACUAUAAUCGAUUAGAAAGAUGAAUAACCUCG
This 972-nucleotide small RNA is filed under the name Cryptococcus neoformans H99. RNAcentral describes it as "Cryptococcus neoformans var. grubii H99 hypothetical RNA". Lineage: Eukaryota; Fungi; Basidiomycota; Tremellomycetes; Tremellales; Cryptococcaceae. The record is from RNAcentral.